CCCGCUCCUCGGCAUUGGCCGGGACGCAGAGCCACGCCCCCCGAGGCGAUGCACGGGCGCCAAACUGCCUGACAACAAGCGCAGGAUCCUAUUAGCAUUUCUAAGGAAAAGCUGCUGGGGACUGGGAUGGGACCUCCGUGCCAUCCCCCGUGAUGGUAAAGAGCAGUUUUGAGAUCAUGGAAGGCAACAGAGGAGACAGCGAGGGCCGUGUUGAACCCAAAAAGACCUGCAAACCAGUCUGCCAUUGUGGUGCUCUUGGACUUUGCGUUUGGACUCUGUUUUGCCCCUCCACAUCAGUCUCCAGAAAAUACGUACAAAUUUACUGUUGAGAUUUCAACCCUUCUUCAUUUAGUUGAAUUUGGUCAAUGUGCUUACAGAUUAACCUUGAAGGAUGUAUGGACAUCCACACAGGCAUGGUCUGACCAAAACUGCCCAUAAAUAAAAUCUGCUAAGGAUGUGUGUCUUGA
This is a long non-coding RNA of Centrocercus urophasianus (Greater sage-grouse), 467 nucleotides long. RefSeq lists it as uncharacterized. NCBI's taxonomy places the organism in Eukaryota, Metazoa, Chordata, Aves, Galliformes, Phasianidae. The transcript is spliced from 3 exons. The record is from RefSeq and is a predicted model, not a curated record.